This 497-nucleotide ribosomal RNA is filed under the name uncultured bacterium. RNAcentral describes it as "partial 16S ribosomal RNA". It matches the Rfam family "Bacterial small subunit ribosomal RNA", at positions 28 to 507 of the family's 1533-position model. The record is from RNAcentral.
GAUGAACGCUGGCGGCGUGCCUAAUACAUGCAAGUCGAGCGAACAGACGAGGAGCUUGCUCCUCUGACGUUAGCGGCGGACGGGUGAGUGACACGUGGAUAACCUACCUAUAAGACUGGGAUAACUUCGGGAAACCGGAGCUAAUACCGGAUAAUAUAUUGAACCGCAUGGUUCAAUAGUGAAAGACGGUUUUGCUGUCACUUAUAGAUGGAUCCGCGCCGCAUUAGCUAGUUGGUAAGGUAACGGCUUACCAAGGCAACGAUGCGUAGCCGACCUGAGAGGGUGAUCGGCCACACUGGAACUGAGACACGGUCCAGACUCCUACGGGAGGCAGCAGUAGGGAAUCUUCCGCAAUGGGCGAAAGCCUGACGGAGCAACGCCGCGUGAGUGAUGAAGGUCCUCGGAUCGUAAAACUCUGUUAUUAGGGAAGAACAAAUGUGUAAGUAACUAUGCACGUCUUGACGGUACCUAAUCAGAAAGCCACGGCUAACUACGUG